AAGACCGUGAGGUGGAGCAAAACUCAAAAACUUAGUCUCAGUUCGGAUUGUAGGCUGAAACUCGCCUACAUGAAGCUGGAGUUGCUAGUAAUCGCGAAUCAGCAUGUCGCGGUGAAUACGUUCCCGGGCCUUGUACACACCGCCCGUCACACCAUGAGAGUUGGCAAUACCCAACGUACGUGAUCUAACCCGCAAGGGAGGAAGCGUCCUAAGGUAGGGUCAGCGAUUGGGGUGAAGUCGUAACAAGGUAAC
This 252-nucleotide ribosomal RNA is filed under the name uncultured bacterium. RNAcentral describes it as "partial 16S ribosomal RNA". It matches the Rfam family "Bacterial small subunit ribosomal RNA", at positions 1251 to 1500 of the family's 1533-position model. The record is from RNAcentral.